CCUACGGGUGGUAGCAGUGAGGCAUAUUGGUCAAUGGGCGCGAGCCUGAACCAGCAACGCCGCGUGAUCGAUGAAGCCCUUCGGGGUGUAAAGAUCUGUCAGUGGGGACGAAACCUGACGGUACCCACAGAGGAAGCACCGGCGAACUCCGUGCCAGCAGCCGCGGUAAUACGGGGGGUGCAAGCGUUGUCCGGAAUCAGUGGGCGUAAAGAGUUCGUAGGUGGCACGUUAAGUCUGGUGUUAAAGGCGGAAGCUCAACUUCCGUAGGGCACUGGAUACUGGCGAGAUUGAAUGCGGUAGAGGUAAAGGGAAUUCCUGGUGUAGCGGUGAAAUGCGUAGAUAUCAGGAGGAACAUCGGUGGCGUAAGCGCUUUACUGGGCCGUAAUUGACACUGAGGAACGAAAGCCGGGGUAGCAAAUGGGAUUAGAUACCCUAGUAGUC
RNAcentral lists this ribosomal RNA (441 nucleotides) under uncultured bacterium. Its description in RNAcentral is "partial 16S ribosomal RNA". It matches the Rfam family "Bacterial small subunit ribosomal RNA", at positions 338 to 795 of the family's 1533-position model. The record is from RNAcentral.